This 133-nucleotide non-coding RNA is filed under the name Crystallibacter crystallopoietes. Its description in RNAcentral is "Arthrobacter crystallopoietes TPP sequence". It matches the Rfam family "TPP riboswitch aptamer (THI element)". Rfam says of the family: Vitamin B(1) in its active form thiamin pyrophosphate (TPP) is an essential coenzyme that is synthesised by coupling of pyrimidine and thiazole moieties in bacteria. The previously detected thiamin-regulatory element, thi box was extended, resulting in a new, highly conserved RNA secondary structure, the THI element, which is widely distributed in eubacteria and also occurs in some archaea. Lineage: Bacteria; Bacillati; Actinomycetota; Actinomycetes; Micrococcales; Micrococcaceae. RNAcentral also lists the same sequence under 1 other name. The record is from RNAcentral.
UCGCGACACUGCGGGAGCCUGAUUCCGCGGCAUCCGGCCCUGUGCCGAUGCCGGCAGGCUGAGAGGGUGCUGGGCACCGACCGUUGAACCUGAUCCGGUUCGUACCGGCGUAGGGAAGGAAUUGCGGACUUGG